GUGUUUGCUUCAGCAGCACAUACAAUAAAACUGGAAGGAUACAGAGAAGACGAGAAUGGACCCUGGACAAGAAUGGCAUGCAAAUUCACGAAGCAUUUCGUAUUCUU
This is a small nuclear RNA of Microtus ochrogaster (prairie vole), 107 nucleotides long. Lineage: Eukaryota; Metazoa; Chordata; Mammalia; Rodentia; Cricetidae. The record is from Ensembl.